This 406-nucleotide ribosomal RNA is filed under the name uncultured bacterium. RNAcentral describes it as "partial 16S ribosomal RNA". It matches the Rfam family "Bacterial small subunit ribosomal RNA", at positions 29 to 526 of the family's 1533-position model. The record is from RNAcentral.
AUUGAACGCUGGCGGCAGGCCUAACACAUGCAAGUCGAGCGAGCGGCGGACGGGUGAGUAAUGUCUGGGAAACUGCCUGAUGGAGGGGGAUAACUACUGGAAACGGUAGCGAAUACCGCAUACCAUCAGAUGUGCCCAGAUGGGAUUAGCUAGUAGGUGGGGUAAGGGCGCACCUAGGCGACGAUCCCUAGCGGGUCUGAGAGGAUGACCGGCCACAUUGGGACUGAGACACGGCCCAGACUCCUACGGGAGGCAGCAGUGGGGAAUGUGGGACAAUGGGCGCAAGCCUGAUCCAGCCAUGCCGCGUGUGUGAAGAAGGCCUUCGGGUUGUAAAGCACUUUUGUCAGGGAAGCGGUACCUGAAGAAUAAGCACCGGCUAACUCCGUGCCAGCAGCCGCGGUAAUUC